AGUGGGCGAUGAUGAUCCAGACGAAACGUCAUUUUUCCUGAAUCUGAUGACGGUUUUAAGUCACUACCUCUUCUGAGCUCAUU
RNAcentral lists this small nucleolar RNA (83 nucleotides) under Oryzias javanicus (javanese ricefish). RNAcentral's name for it is "Small nucleolar RNA SNORD11B (ENSOJAG00000013799.1)". It matches the Rfam family "Small nucleolar RNA SNORD11B". Lineage: Eukaryota; Metazoa; Chordata; Actinopteri; Beloniformes; Adrianichthyidae. The record is from Rfam by way of RNAcentral.